Molecule: long non-coding RNA, 924 nt
Organism: Ipomoea triloba (trilobed morning glory)
Lineage: Eukaryota; Viridiplantae; Streptophyta; Magnoliopsida; Solanales; Convolvulaceae
Exons: 2
Source: RefSeq, a predicted model, not a curated record
AUAGUGGCGGAGGCAAACAAACCCUAGUUGCCUUCAAUCUAAUCUGUAACAGGCUAACAGCCAAAACGUGUGAGAGAGGGAGAGAUGCGCGGAGGCAGAGAGACCAUCAGGGCCGGGGCCGCAUCGUCGGUCGCCGUUCACGGCUGGAGCCUCCAUCACCGCUCGCCGUCACGGCCGGAGGUCUCCCACUGCCGCACCGGACUUCGUCGCCGGCAUCGCUAACGAGGAUAGAUCGCGAGCCUCCGCCGCACUCUGCUGGAGCGCGAUCUGUCGGAGUUCCACGUCGCGGUCCUUCUGCCGGAGCACCGCGUUUUUACCGAGGUCGGAACGUCGAUCGCACAGAUCAGCUGUCGCACCGGCCUAUUCGCGAAAUCGCAGCCACCAUCACCAGACGGAGCCGACCGCAACCCCAAUCCGCGCCGUCCUCUUCGCGACUGUCGCGACCAGCGAGAGUGCUGCCGCUAGGAUGCCAUCGCCGAUCACAAAAUAGAUCUAGAUAGAACAUAGAUUGAUCGCUCAGAAUCGUUGCCGCUGGACGCGACUUUACCUCUGGGCUGAGCCGCCUGCCGGAUCCACGAUGCGAACCCUCGUGGGAAAGAAGGAACCGGCCACCAACAAUGGAUUUGGCUAAGAAAAACUAUGGUGGCAGAUCGGUCAAAGGGAAGCGAACGGCUCUGCGGCGCUGCGAUUUACACAAAGCAAACGGAGACAACGAGGACGUCGCCGCUACCUCCCUCACGCCGGAGCACAGUCACGAGUCAAGUCAAUAUCAGGUUGACUACAUAUGGUUUGCCUAAAGCAGGUUAUUUUUCUAAAAAUAUUCAUAUAGUUUGAAUACAUAUUUAUAUACAAAAUGUAUUCAGAAUGAUAUACAAAGUACAAACGGCAACCGUGUACACAAAUAUUGCAUAUCACUCAAGGAAA